AACGAACGCUGGCGGCAUGCCUAACACAUGCAAGUCGAACGAGACCUUCGGGUUUGCUGGCGCACGGGUGCGUAACCCGUUGGAUCCUGCCUUUAGGUUCGGCAUAACUCCCCGAAAGGGGUGCUAAUACCGGAUAAUGUCUUCGGACCAAAGAUUUAUCGCCUUUGGAUGGGCCCGCGUUGGAUUAGCUAGUUGGUAGGGUAAAAGCCUACCAAGGCUACGAUCCAUAGAUGGUCUGAGAGGAUGAUCAGCGACACUGGGACUGAGACACGGCCCAGACUCCUACGGGAGGCAGCAGUGGGGAAUAUUGGACAAUGGGCGAAAGCCUGAUCCAGCAAGGCCGCGUGAGUGAUGAAGGCCUUAGGGUUGUAAAGCUCUUUUACCCGGGAUGAUAAUGACAGUACCGGGAGAAUAAGCUCCGGCUAACUCCGUG
RNAcentral lists this ribosomal RNA (433 nucleotides) under uncultured bacterium. Its description in RNAcentral is "partial 16S ribosomal RNA". It matches the Rfam family "Bacterial small subunit ribosomal RNA", at positions 29 to 507 of the family's 1533-position model. The record is from RNAcentral.